This 208-nucleotide ribosomal RNA is filed under the name uncultured bacterium. RNAcentral's name for it is "partial 16S ribosomal RNA". It matches the Rfam family "Bacterial small subunit ribosomal RNA", at positions 568 to 774 of the family's 1533-position model. The record is from RNAcentral.
CUCGUAGGCGGCCAACUAAGUCGGACGUGAAAUCCCUCGGCUUAACCGGGGAACUGCGUCCGAUACUGGAUGGCUUGAGUUUGGGAGAGGGAUGCGGAAUUCCAGGUGUAGCGGUGAAAUGCGUAGAUAUCUGGAGGAACACCGGUGGCGAAGGCGGCAUCCUGGACCAACACUGACGCUGAUGAGCGAAAGCCAGGGGGAGCAAACG